AGGGAUAUAGCUCAGUGGUAGAGCACUUGCCUAGCAAGUGCCCAAGGUCCUGUGUUCCUC
RNAcentral lists this transfer RNA (60 nucleotides) under Marmota marmota marmota (Alpine marmot). Lineage: Eukaryota; Metazoa; Chordata; Mammalia; Rodentia; Sciuridae. RNAcentral also lists the same sequence under 2 other names. The record is from Rfam by way of RNAcentral.